Molecule: ribosomal RNA, 1325 nt
Filed under: metagenome
Description: bacterial LSU rRNA
Rfam family: Bacterial large subunit ribosomal RNA
Source: RNAcentral
AGUGGAUGGGGAGCAACCUAGUUGUGCGUGUGUAAAGGUAGUGCCAAGAAAAGCGAUGAUCAUGUUGAAAAUCAAUUCCCGGUACCCGAAACCGACACAGGUGGGCAAGUAGAGAAUACUAAGGGGCGCGAGGUAACUCUCUCCAAGGAACUCGGCAAAAUGACCCCGUAACUUAGGGAGAAGGGGUGCCACCGAGAGGUGGUCGCAGUGAAGAGGCCCAGGCGACUGUUUAGCAAAACAUAGGUCUCUGCAAACUCGGAAGAGGAGGUAUAGGGGCUGACGCCUGCCCAGUGCCGGAAGGUUAAAGAAGUUGGUCAGUUUUAGGAUGAAGCUAGCGACUGAAGCCCCGGUGAACGGCGGCCGUAACUAUAACGGUCCUAAGGUAGCGAAAUUCCCUGUCGGGUAAGUUCCGACCCGCACGAAAGGCGUAACGAUCUGGGCGCUGUCUCGGAGAGAGGCUCGGCGAAAUAGGAUUGUCUGUGAAGAUACGGACUACCUGCAUUUGGACAGAAAGACCCUAUGAAGCUUUACUAUAGCUUGGAAUUGUGUUCGGGCUUCCUGUGCGCAGGAUAGGUGGGAGGCGUAGAAGGUAUUCUUGUGGGGAUACUGGAGCCAACGGUGAGAUACCACUCUCAGGAGGCUAGAAUUCUAACUUAAUUAAGGACAGUUUCAGGUGGGUAGUUUGACUGGGGCGGUCGCCUCCAAAAAGGUAACGGAGGCGUACAAAGGUUCCCUCAGACUGGUUGGAAAUCAGUCGAAGAGUGCAAAGGCAGAAGGGAGCUUGACUGCGAGAAGUACAGUUCGAGCAGGGUGGAAACACGGUCUUAGUGAUCCGACGGUGCUGUGUGGAAGGGCCGUCGCUCAACGGAUAAAAGUUACUCUAAGGAUAACAGGCUGAUCUCCCCCAAGAGUUCACAUCGACGGGGAGGUUUGGCACCUCGAUGUCGGCUCAUCGCAACCUGGGGCGGAAGUACGUCCCAAGGGUUGGGCUGUUCGCCCAUUAAAGCGGUACGUGAGCUGGGUUCAGAACGUCGUGAGACAGUUCGGUCCAUAUCCGAUGUAGGCGUGAGAAUAUUGAGAGGAGCCUUCCUUAGUACGAGAGGACCGGGAAGGACGCACCGCUGGUGUACCUGUUAUGAUGCCAAUUGUAAACGCAGGGUAGCCAAGUGCGGAGAGGAUAACCGCUGAAAGCAUCUAAGUGGGAAGCCCACCUCAAGAUGAGUAUUCUGGUGUAAGGUCACGGGAAGACGACCCGUAAAUAGGCACGAGGUGGAAGUGCAGAGAUGUAUGAAGCCGAAGUGUACUAAUAGACCGUCGGCUUGACC